UUUCCGUAGGUGAACCUGCGGAAGGAUCAUUAUUGUAUAACCGAGGUGCGAGGGCUGUCGCUGACCCGAAAGGUCAUGCACGCCCGAGUGCCCUCACACACAUUCAUCUCACCCCUAUGUGCACCACCGCGUGGGUCCCCCUUUGGCUUGUUCGGAGGGGGGCUUACGUUUUCACACAAACUUUGUAUGCAGUGUAGAAUGUAUUUUUUGUUUUUGCGAUCACGCAAUCAAUACAACUUUCAACAACGGAUCUCUUGGCUCUC
RNAcentral lists this unclassified non-coding RNA (263 nucleotides) under plant metagenome. Its description in RNAcentral is "partial contains small subunit ribosomal RNA, internal transcribed spacer 1, and 5.8S ribosomal RNA". The record is from RNAcentral.